UCCUAAACCACUUAACCGAUUAUAAUAAUAUUCGCACACCAUGUGCAGUUCGAUCCAACUUGAGGGAUAGUUUACAUCUCAAGUUAUGGUCGCAAUUUCUUCUAACCACGCGGACGAAGUCGCGGGCAACAGCUAGUAUUUUAAUAUAGUUCUAUUGUUUUACAAAUUACUCGGCACCAACCCGUCUAUACGGUUAUUGGAUUUUGAGUUUUUCUUACCUGGUUUUAAAAUGGUUACAUUCUAAAACUAGUUUGUUGUACCAUCUCAAGUCUUAAGCCAAGUACUUAUGUUACCAUAACUAUCGUGGAUAGAGAAGUGUGGCAGGAUUUCAUUUGCUGGAUGCCUUUGCAUAGGAGUGGGUCACAGCAGACCUUAUAAAAAAAAACAUCAUGCCGGUUUUUAUGACUUCACAUUAUACCUAAAAGAAGUUUUUUUUUGUCAAGAUUGGAUUAAUAUGCAAAAAAGUCUGCUGACGAUGCAGUUUUACUGAAGAACUUUGAGCGACGCAAUCUAUCUUGUCAUCUCAGCGAUAAGAGAAAGAUCUAGAAAUCCCUUCAGCUAUAAAUACAGUCAUAAGACAUUAAUAUAACUAGAUACGGAAAAUACGAAAACGUCUAAUCAUCGUAAUAAUAUACUGCCUUUAAUUUCUGUCAUCAAGUCAAGUCAGCGAAAGUUAUCAUUAAUGAGUCAAUCUGUAAUGACUGCGUGAUUAUCUACGUGACGUGAAUCAAGCGUAAUGUUACGUGGUAGGCAGUUACCGUAUAAGGAAAAGUUUAGUGAAGUUAUCGCGAUGGUUCAGCGGUACGUUCUGCGGGUUUCGCUGCGUGUCUCGGAAUCGAGGUGAACAUGCAACAUUCACGGAUGUUAAUAUAAUCUCGGACGUAGUAUUUUUCCAAUGAAACCAGAUACAAAGAAAAAAAAUGAUUUUAUAAUUUUAUUUACACACGAAAAUAGAUAAGCGGACACAAUGAUGAUAAAUACUGCAAAGAAAUAAAACAAUUUUAAAACA
Trichoplusia ni (cabbage looper) is the source of this 1009-nucleotide long non-coding RNA. RefSeq lists it as uncharacterized. The transcript has 2 exons. NCBI's taxonomy places the organism in Eukaryota, Metazoa, Arthropoda, Insecta, Lepidoptera, Noctuidae. The record is from RefSeq and is a predicted model, not a curated record.